GCUUAACACAUGCAAGUCGAACGAUGAAGCCUUUCGGGGUGGAUUAGUGGCGAACGGGUGAGUAACACGUGGGUAAUCUGCCCUGUACUUUGGGAUAAGCCUUGGAAACGAGGUCUAAUACCGGAUAUGACCUCGCACCGCAUGGUGUGGGGUGGAAAGCUCCGGCGGUAUGGGAUGAACCCGCGGCCUAUCAGCUUGUUGGUGGGGUAGUGGCCUACCAAGGCGUCGACGGGUAGCCGGCCUGAGAGGGCGACCGGCCACACUGGGACUGAGACACGGCCCAGACUCCUACGGGAGGCAGCAGUGGGGAAUAUUGCACAAUGGGCGCAAGCCUGAUGCAGCGACGCCGCGUGAGGGAUGACGGCCUUCGGGUUGUAAACCUCUUUCGCCAGGGACGAAGCCUUUCGGGGUGACGGUACCUGGAUAAGAAGCACCGGCUAACUACGUGCCAGCAGCCGCGGUAAUACGUAGGGUGCGAGCGUUGUCCGGAAUUAUUGGGCGUAAAGAGCUCGUAGGCGGUUUGUCACGUCGGCCGUGAAAACUGGAGGCUUAACCUCCAGCUUGCGGUCGAUACGGGCAGACUUGAUUUCGGUAGGGGAGACUGGAAUUCCUGGUGUAGCGGUGGAAUGCUCAGAUAUCU
This 640-nucleotide ribosomal RNA is filed under the name Amycolatopsis sp. XJ 11087. Its description in RNAcentral is "bacterial SSU rRNA". It matches the Rfam family "Bacterial small subunit ribosomal RNA", at positions 46 to 699 of the family's 1533-position model. The record is from RNAcentral. Lineage: Bacteria; Bacillati; Actinomycetota; Actinomycetes; Pseudonocardiales; Pseudonocardiaceae.